UCCUUCUUAGCUCAGUUGGUAGAGCGCGUCACUAGUAUCAUUGCAAAUGACGAGGUCAGUCGUUCAAGUCGGCUAGAAGGAA
RNAcentral lists this transfer RNA (82 nucleotides) under Lentinula edodes (shiitake mushroom). It matches the Rfam family "tRNA". Rfam says of the family: Transfer RNA (tRNA) molecules are approximately 80 nucleotides in length. Their secondary structure includes four short double-helical elements and three loops (D, anti-codon, and T loops). Lineage: Eukaryota; Fungi; Basidiomycota; Agaricomycetes; Agaricales; Omphalotaceae. The record is from Rfam by way of RNAcentral.